Molecule: ribosomal RNA, 295 nt
Filed under: Salmonella enterica
Lineage: Bacteria; Pseudomonadati; Pseudomonadota; Gammaproteobacteria; Enterobacterales; Enterobacteriaceae
Also listed under: 2 other names
Description: partial 23S ribosomal RNA
Rfam family: Bacterial large subunit ribosomal RNA
Source: RNAcentral
UGGGCGCUGGAGAACUGAGGGGGGCUGCUCCUAGUACGAGAGGACCGGAGUGGACGCAUCACUGGUGUUCGGGUUGUCAUGCCAAUGGCACUGCCCGGUAGCUAAAUGCGGAAGAGAUAAGUGCUGAAAGCAUCUAAGCACGAAACUUGCCCCGAGAUGAGUUCUCCCUGAGACUUAGAGUCUCCUGAAGGAACGUUGAAGACGACGACGUUGAUAGGCCGGGUGUGUAAGCGCAGCGAUGCGUUGAGCUAACCGGUACUAAUGAACCGUGAGGCUUAACCUUACAACGCCGAAG